GAUGAACGCUGGCGGCGUGCCUAAUACAUGCAAGUCGAGCGAACAGACGAGGAGCUUGCUCCUCUGACGUUAGCGGCGGACGGGUGAGUAACACGUGGAUAACCUACCUAUAAGACUGGGAUAACUUCGGGAAACCGGAGCUAAUACCGGAUAAUAUAUUGAACCGCAUGGUUCAAUAGUGAAAGACGGUUUUGCUGUCACUUAUAGAUGGAUCCGCGCCGCAUUAGCUAGUUGGUAAGGUAACGGCUUACCAAGGCGACGAUGCGUAGCCGACCUGAGAGGGUGAUCGGCCACGCUGGAACUGAGACACGGUCCAGACUCCUACGGGAGGCAGCAGUAGAGAAUCUUCCGCAAUGGGCGAAAGCCUGACGAGGCAACGCCGCGUGAGUGAUGAAGGUCUUCGGAUCGUAAAACUCUGUUAUUAGGGAAGAACAAAUGUGUAAGUAACUAUGCACGUCUUGACGGUACCUAAUCAGAAAGCCACGGCUAACUACGUG
RNAcentral lists this ribosomal RNA (497 nucleotides) under uncultured bacterium. Its description in RNAcentral is "partial 16S ribosomal RNA". It matches the Rfam family "Bacterial small subunit ribosomal RNA", at positions 28 to 507 of the family's 1533-position model. The record is from RNAcentral.